Molecule: long non-coding RNA, 209 nt
Filed under: Hordeum vulgare
Lineage: Eukaryota; Viridiplantae; Streptophyta; Magnoliopsida; Poales; Poaceae
Description: long non-coding RNA (HVUL_LNC006470)
Source: RNAcentral
GGGAUAUCUUCAACCGAUUUGAAUGACAGUGCAGUAAUAGGAUAGAUGAGUAGACAUCUAGGCCUAUUUUGCCGGUUGUGUCACUUUUUUAUAUUUACCUUCGCUUUUGAUUUCUUUUGUCGGAGAUAAUGUUGAACCGCAAUUUAUUUGCCUUAUUAUUAAUAAAGAUGCCGUAUGCAUCGUGCUGAUGCAGAGGCCGAAGGUAAUCC